Anaerolineaceae bacterium oral taxon 439 is the source of this 397-nucleotide non-coding RNA. NCBI's taxonomy places the organism in Bacteria, Bacillati, Chloroflexota, Anaerolineae, Anaerolineales, Anaerolineaceae. The record is from Rfam.
CGGGUUGGUCAGAUGAUCGCGGUGUGACGUGGUUCAUACCGAGGAAAGUCCGCACUCCUUAGAGCAAGAUGCCGGAUAACGUCCGGGGCGGGGCAACCUGCCGGAACAGGGCCACAGAAAAAAGAUCGCUUCGCGGAAGCGGAGUCAGAGUGAAAAGGUAGUGUAAGAGACUACCGGCGUGGAUGGCAACAUCGCGGCCAGGCAACCCCCAUCUGGAGCAAGGCCAAGCAGGAGCGAAGACUGUCGCGUACAGGCGAGGAUCUGCUCGAUCCCCAUAUAAGCUCCGGGUAGGCUGCUAGAGUCGUGCAGUAAUGUACGUCCCAGAGAGAUGGUCAUCUCAGCGGGAGAACUCGAGGUCUCCUCUGAACAGAAUGCGGCUUAUAGAUCAACCCGCUUU